This 561-nucleotide long non-coding RNA is filed under the name Ananas comosus (pineapple). RNAcentral describes it as "long non-coding RNA (ACOM_LNC031122)". Lineage: Eukaryota; Viridiplantae; Streptophyta; Magnoliopsida; Poales; Bromeliaceae. The record is from RNAcentral.
AUAUAUAUAUAUAUAUAUAUAUAUAUAUAGUUGAGCUAGAAUACUCUCGAUAGUAAACGAGCCGUUUUAUUAUCGAGUUGUUUUCGAUGAUAGAGCUUUCAAAUUGACGAUCGGCUCCGUUAAAUAUGAUCUAAACCAUUCAAACUACCUAGAAAUCAAAUUUCACGCACUUUCGAUAUUAUUUUUUAUCCAUCUAGUGAACAGAAAAAUUAAUGGCUGAAAUAAAUAUUCUUUAAAAAAUAAUGAUAGGAGUCUUGUAAUCAAGAUCAAGAGUAUAGAUAUUGUUUUAAAUAGUUUAAAGAAUUUUCUAACAAAAAUUCAAUUGAUUUGGAUAUCUUUACACCGUUAAACAAGAAAACGUCCCUUAUCCACCAUUAAAAUUACAAAUUUUGAAACCCUUUAAUCAUUAGGCAAAUGAUGUCGAAAAGAUUUGGAAUUUGAUUUCUAAACACUUCAAGUGGUAUAGAUCAUGUUCAACGGAGCGAUCGUCAAUUUGGAAGCUUUAUUAUCGAAAACAACUCGAUAGUAAAACGGCUCGUUUAUAUAUAUAUAUAUAUAUAU